Molecule: ribosomal RNA, 473 nt
Filed under: uncultured bacterium
Lineage: Bacteria
Description: bacterial SSU rRNA
Rfam family: Bacterial small subunit ribosomal RNA
Source: RNAcentral
AGAGUUUGUAUCCUGGCUCAGAACGAACGCUGGCGGCAUGCCUAACACAUGCAAGUCGAACGAGACCUUCGGGUCUAGUGGCGCACGGGUGCGUAACGCGUGGGAAUCUGCCCUUGGGUUCGGAAUAACAGUUAGAAAUGACUGCUAAUACCGCAUAAUGCAGCGGCUCGACAUCGAGACAGUUGUUAAAGGAGCAAUCCGCCUUUUGAGCAGCCUGCGGCAGAUUAGCUAGUUGGUAAGGUAAUGGCUUACCAAGGCUACGAUCUGUAACCGACCUGAGAGGGUGGUCGGUCACACUGACACUGAAUAACGGGUCAGACUCCUACGGGAGGCAGCAGUCGGGAAUUUUGGGCAAUGGGCGAAAGCCUGACCCAGCAACGCCGCGUGAAGGAUGAAGUAUUUCGGUAUGUAAACUUCGUAAGAAUAGGAAGAAUAAAUGACGGUACUAUUUGUAAGGUCCGGCUAACUACGUG